GAAAUUUCAUGAUCCGACUGGAAUCCAGGAAAAUCACAGCUGAAAUACAAAACAUCAGCCCUUAUCUCCAGCACUGUACAUGGCAGAAACUGCUUUUAUUCUAGAUGUCUAGAUCCAGAUCAACUGCAUGGGGUCCUACAGGAGAAGACCAAGAGACAGAGACAGAGACCAGGGAAAAUGACCGAUACCAUUCCUUCUCAGGGAUGCUACACACCCAUGGGGCAGAGGAUAAGAGGUUCCUGAAGGCAUCACCCCUCUGGCCAUGGCUGGUGUGCAGACAAAGCUGGAGAUUUGGAGUAGCCUGUUGUCCCACUGACUCUUAGACUGCCCCAGCUAAGAAGAACCAACUCCUCCUAUUACAGAUGAAAUAAACAAAGCUACUCAAGCUCUCUGGCAUCGCCCUGACGGUCAUCAUGUGCUUCACAUUUCCCUCCUGCCCCCCCUGAUUUUCUGGAAAAGGGAGAAACACACCAAAGAGAGUUCUAGAAAAAAUGAGAAUAAGAAAUUUACCUGUAAUCCUUGCUCAAGAAACUGAAGCUCUGAGGCCACAUUGUUCCAGCCUUUUGCAGCUCCUGCAUGUGGAUACCAGCACCAGCAGCUCCCCGACCAGGGGCCCCAGCUAAGCCCUCCCAGAGGAUGAUCUUGGCUUUGUACAUGGGGUGUCAAUAUCCUGUGAGUCCAACAGAGGGAAGACAUAAGAAUAUGGUCACCCAGGUAAGUGGUGGAUAGCUGAGUGACUGUAUUCUUGCUCACCACCACCCCCAUCAGAGGGGGUGUCUUUGUUUCUAGUUGGGGGAAGCUUUGGUAGACUGUCAGUAAUUCCUCCCUGUGUCCCCCAUCCUGUGUCAGGUAACAGACAUUUGUCUUAAUGUAUUCACUGUGUCAUCAGAAGCCACUUCUUAUCCAUCCUUGUGAAUACUUGAUGAAUGAGGAGUCAAUGAUUAAAUGAAGGAAAGAAAAGAGACUGAAAAGGAGGUUUUGUACAGAGGAAAUCCAGGCUCCUAACGAUGGCGAAAGAUGGGAAUAAAAGGAUCAGAACACUGAGCUGGAUCUUCAGUUCAUUUCAGGUAUGGAGAAGGGUAAAUGGUCUUUAAAGAAGGCCGACCUCAAUGAAGGUGUCUUCCAAGGCCUUGUCCACUCAAGGACAUGUUGCAUGCCUGAAACUGAGUAUACAGGAAAAGGAUAGAAAUGGAAUAAAAUGGAAACCCAUAAAUCACACUACCCUGCUAUGCAGUUUCAAACCACUGACUUAAUGAAAUGUUGAUCCACUUUGCCAUGGAUGCCCCACUUUUUAACUCCUUCUUCAGAGUCCCAGGAGGUGAGGCUCUUCUGUUUAACUGAUUUGCAGAAUUUUUGCUUCUGCUAUUACAAUGGCUUCCAUAGUUGAGUACCAAAGACACUUUACUAUGGUGCCACAGAGAUCAUUUUGCAGAUGAGGAAACAGACUGUUCUACUACCCAGGCUUUGGUUUUUUCUACUCAGUCUUGCACAAUCUCUCACUCUCAGCCCAGAACAUUGCUGCAUUUUUGUGAGCCAUCAGCAUCCAAAGUGAACACAGGGUCUAAAUAACUGAAGAUGGCAUGAGGGAACACACAAUCAGGUCUUUAAAAAAAGAAGAAAGUGAAUAGGCAAACUGAACAGGACAUCUAGGACUGAAAAGCCUCUGUGAACAACUGGACUCAAUAUGAAAUUGGCGUGAGCUCACAGAAGACCAGCUGAGUUCCAGAUGUGGUUGGGUAGCUUGGGUUAUGGGCCCGUAUAAAAAAAAUGGUCUCUUCUUGUAAAAGGAAUUCAAAAAAAGACUAAAAGUCACCCCAAAGAGUCACUGUCUUUGUCUUUUGGCCAUUAGUAAGUCAGAAGAGACCUCUAGAGGAGACUGGAUUUUGUGGCUGAUUAUCGAUUAAUUGAUCAUCACUGGGUAUCUUUGGGAGUGUUGCCUUCUCAGGGAGAAGCUGAAAAUCAUUCUGUGAAAGGUAUGUCCACUGACAAUCAUUUAAGCUCUUUGGAGGCAAGAAAUCAGGUAUCUGGGAGAACUCAGAGAUAACAUAGGAGCGACAGGCUGAAACCAUGAGCGAGAUGGGCAGAUGGCUUGAGAAUGACGAUGGGCAGAGGAGAGCAGUGGCAGGGAGAACCCACAGGCCUCUACUUGGAGUCAGCCUGUCAGCAGGAUAAGCUACAAGAUCACCCUCGAGGGAAACUGCAGGCCAGGUCAGGGGCACUGCAAGCUGCAGGUGUGCCCAGGCAGGAGGGCAGGUGGCCUGUGAUGAGGGGCCAUGACUGUGUGGUGGGCUCUCCCACACCAGGAGCAACUAGACACUAGACUGAAAGUUCUUUUAAGUGAGGGAGCCAUCUUCUGUCCAGGGAAAAGUGGUUCGGGAUACAGGAGGAGCCCUGCACCACAGAAUCGGUCUAGUCUCAGGCUGUCUGUUCCACAGGAGCCUCCAGCCCAGUGAUGUAGGCAGCUAUUCACAACCACAUCAUGGCACAAAGUGAGGCCUCCCAAUCCACAGCCAUCCCUGAUUACAGACACUUCACUGGAUGUCUGAACAUAGCUGUGUGUGCCUGGAAAGCCUAGAAAUAGAAACGCUCCUUUUUUCCCCAAGACGAUCAUCUCUACAUCCUGACCUGGAUCAACAGUGAUCCAUUCUGGACAAUCCUGGACACUCCUGCUCCUGGAGAGAAGGGAUAGAUAACUUUUCCACCUGCCUGCCUGUCCUGUCCACCUCGAGGUGGUCUUGUGGCAUCUUGGGCCUCACAUGUCCCAUAGUCUCUUCUCAUCCCUCCAAUUUGCUCCUUCUCCAGACUUCUCUCUCUUGGUUGAGUGGUUCCACCAUUUUCCCAAGUUGCUUGGACCCAACACUUGAGUUACAGCCAACUCCUCUCUUUCUCUCACAACCCAAAUCUAAUUCAUCAGUAAGUCCUGGUGGCUCCACAUUCGGAAUGUUCCUGGGAUGCCACCACUUUUUGUCAUCUCUGUUACUGCUAGCCUGCCCCUUGCUACUGUCAGCUCCAGCCUGGAGGACUGAAAUAACCUCCUCACUGUCUCCAGCUGUUCUUCCCGCCCAUGGUCUAUUCCCCAGACACCACCAGAGGGAUGCUUUGAAGUCCAGAUGGCAUCAUGUCAUUUAGAAUGAAACCUGAGGUCCCAAGUGUGGCCCGAGGGAUGGUCAGGUUGCCCCCAGGGCUCCAUUUCCUGCCACUCUUCCUCUCUCUCACUCUGCUGGAGCCACAUGGUUACUAUUCCUGAACACAGGAGGCUCCCUCCUGCUUCAGGUCUCGUGCAGAUUUGUUCCCACAGCCUGGGGACAGAUUUUAUCCCAGAAGUUCCCAGGGCUUGAUUCCUCCCUUUAUUUAGUUCUCAGCUGAAAUGUCCCCUCUUCUGAGCAGCCUUCUCUCACCACCCGAUGGAAGCAGCCGUCCCUGCACGCUCUAUCACUUCACUCGGCUCUAUUUUUCUUCCUAACACGUUCACAACUUGACAUUCUUUUAUAAUUUUUCACUUAUUUAUUGAGUGCUGUCUCUUCCACUAGAACCCCUGAAAGCAGGGAUUUUUAUAAUCUUUUGGCCACCACUAGAUUCAUAAGGAUGCACAGAGCCUGGUAGGCUGCAGGCUGUCCAUAACUGCUUGUUGAAUGAAUCGAUGGAUGAAUGAUCAGCAGAAGCUCGUUUCUCUCCAUGAAAUACAACGGGUUCCAAAGAAAUCGAAGCCUUUUUGAAAGGCCUAGCCAUACUUCACCCAUACAGCUGCAGUGGCAGAUCCAUGCUCAUGACCUCAUUUCUCUCC
RNAcentral lists this long non-coding RNA (3784 nucleotides) under Homo sapiens (human). Its description in RNAcentral is "HSALNT0129361". The record is from RNAcentral. Lineage: Eukaryota; Metazoa; Chordata; Mammalia; Primates; Hominidae.